AGCAGCCGCGGUAAUUCCAGCUCCAAUAGCGUAUAUUAAAGUUGUUGCAGUUAAAAAGCUCGUAGUUGAAUUUCGAGACCGGUUUAUUGGUCGCGCUUUUGUACGUACUGGUAUUAUUGGUUUCUCCUUUCUGACGAAUCUUAAUGCCAUUAAUUUGGUGUUUUGGGGAAUCAGGACUGUUACUUUGAAAAAAUUAGAGUGUUUAAAGCAGGCUCACGCUUGAAUACAUUAGCAUGGAAUAACGGAAUAGGACGUUUGAUUCUAUUUUGUUGGUUUCUAGGAUCGACGUAAUGAUUAAUAGGGAUAGUUGGGGGCAUUAGUAUUCAAUUGUCAGAGGUGAAAUUCUUGGAUUUAUUGAAGACUAACUACUGCGAAAGCAUUUGCCAAGGAUGUUUUCACUAAUCAAGAACGAAAGUUAGGGGAUCGAAGACGAUCAGAUACCGUCGUAGUCUUAACCAUAAACUAUGCCGACUAGGGAUCGGAUGAUGUUAAUUUUUAAUGACUCAUUCGGCGCCUUACG
This 520-nucleotide ribosomal RNA is filed under the name uncultured Glomus. Its description in RNAcentral is "SSU rRNA". It matches the Rfam family "Eukaryotic small subunit ribosomal RNA", at positions 569 to 1092 of the family's 1831-position model. Lineage: Eukaryota; Fungi; Glomeromycota; Glomeromycetes; Glomerales; Glomeraceae. The record is from RNAcentral.